GACGAACGCUGGCGGCGUGCUUAACACAUGCAAGUCGAACGGAAAGGCCCUGCUUUUGUGGGAUGCUUGAGUAGCGAACGGGUAAGUAACACGUGAGUAACCUGCCCUUGACUUUGGGCUAACUUCAGGUAACUGGGGCUAAUACCGGAUAGGAGCUCCUGCUGCAUGGUGGGGGUUGGAAAGUUUCGGUGGUUGGGGAUGGACUCGCGGCUUACCGGCUUGUUGGUGGGGUAGUGGCUUACCAAGGGGUUGACGGGUGGCCGGCCUGGGAGGGUGACCGGCCAAAUGGGAACUGAGAUACGGCCCGGACUCCUACGGGAGGCAGCGUGGGGGAAAAUUGAACAAGGGGCGGAAGCCUGUGGAAGCAACGCCGCGGGCGGGAGAACGGCUUUCGGGUGGAAAACCGCUUUAGCCGGGAAGGAAGCUUGAGUGACGGUAAUGGGUAAAGAAGCACCGGCUAACUACGUG
This 468-nucleotide ribosomal RNA is filed under the name uncultured bacterium. RNAcentral describes it as "partial 16S ribosomal RNA". It matches the Rfam family "Bacterial small subunit ribosomal RNA", at positions 28 to 507 of the family's 1533-position model. The record is from RNAcentral.